This is an RNA transcript of Phragmites australis (common reed), 2216 nucleotides long. It is a transcript of the gene named basic transcription factor 3-like, with no coding region annotated. The transcript is spliced from 2 exons. Lineage: Eukaryota; Viridiplantae; Streptophyta; Magnoliopsida; Poales; Poaceae. The record is from RefSeq and is a predicted model, not a curated record.
GUUCAUGGGAGCACCCUCGGCGGUGGCGCCAGAUGCGUCGCCGGCUUCCUCCGACGGUUCGCCUUCCAGCCGCUACGGGAGAACAUGCUCCUCGGCCCAUGCCCAUCCUCUGCAGUACUUUCAACAUGUCCUGACAACCUGGACAACCUGCGGAGGCUUGCGGAGCAAUUCCAAAAGCACGCCUGUGGUGCUUCUGGUGCUGAGGAUGGUGCGAGCACAGGUGCUACUCAGGAUGAUGAUGAUGAUGAUGUGCCCGAGCUUGUCCCUGGAGAGACAUUUGAAAAGGCCGCAAAUGAGAAAAAGGAGUCGUCAUGAUUUUGCUGCUUGUCUGCUGUUGUGAAGGCUUUUUAAGAACUCUGACCUACCUUAUUUAUGCCCAUGGUCUGGAUCAUUCAAGCCGACAACUUGGAUGCUAGCCUCCCAUUGUUCUGUUGUUGAGCACAUUACAUACUAGAUAAUAUACUAGAGAACUUCUAUGAUGUUCUGUCGACCUUCUAAAAUGGGACAUAUUUUUCUUUUGCAAAUAACGCUUUCUCACAAGAAAACAGAAGGGUUUCCAAUGAUCCAGUGCCUCCUAGCUCCCAACAUGGUGCAUCUACUUACUCUUCAAAACAAAUUCCUAGUUCUAACAAUUUAUCACAUGGAAUCCUGGAGGUGCAAGUGUUUCUAGACCUUACUCUCAACAUGAUGCAUCAGUCCCAGGUACAGAAUGAUUGUAUUGUUUGAUAUCUGCCAGUUUUAAUUGCUAUCCUAUAUCUUCUUCCUUAAGUUUGUUUGACUAUUUCUGGGGAAAAUGUGUGGCAUUGAUCCCUUCUUAUUAUCUAUUACCGAAGAAGGUGAAUCUAGAAUAGAUGCCGGGUGGGUGAUUUUUCUCGGUUGGAGAAUUGGAUAUGUGCUAUAACCGCCCAGGCAGUGUUGCAAAAAGAAGUAUCCCACGAAUAUUCUGGUAGCCGUGUAAGCUCUCUUUGGUGUUUACAUUUUUUUUAGAUUACCAUGUAAAAUUGUUCUGUUUAUUUGUCUUCUCUUGCAAUUUCAUACACUUGGUUUUCCAUUGACACAUUUAUUGUGCAUUUGGAACUUUUAUGUGAUGACUACAGCUUUCAAGAGUGCUUGCAAAUGCUUGCUGGAUCAUUCAAGAAGACAACUUGGAUGCUAGCCUCUCCUGUUUUCAGGUUUUAAAAACUUUUGGUUUUACCAUAUUGUUCUGUUGUUGAGCACAUUACAUACUAGAUAAUACUGGAGCAUUUAUAUGAUGUUUUGUAGACCUUCUAAAUGGGGCAUAAUUUUCUUUUUAAGAACUGAUUUACAGUUUGAUAGCUAACUUUCUCCAGACUAUUAUUUUUGAGGCUUCUGUUCCUUACAGUUUAAAGGCCAUUCUAUUUUUUGUCUACGUUUCUUACUACCUUACUGCUUUGAUGUGCCAGGUAAUCAGGUAGUGAUGUUUUGGUGUUGCUUCUAUGACCAUAUGAAAAGGCAGCCUUGCUUGAAUGCCUGGAAAUCAUUCGAAUUGUUAUGAGGACAUCGUGAAUCUAUAAUUUGAACUGUUCCUUUCCAUACAACAAAUUUGUAUAUGAAUUGUAUAAAUUUUGACUUCUUUGCAGUACUGAUUAUUUGCAUCUGUGUUUAUUUACUUUAUUCACCUGAGUAGUGAGUGUUCCAUUCUGCUGGUCAAUCACACUUUGGCACCCAACUACAAACUGCACUUGUAUCACCAUAAAUUCUAUGAAUUAUGAAAAUUAUAGCAAUAAUCUUUGCUCACUAUUAACAGUUUAACUGCUUUAGGGGACAAACUCAUAUUAAUGUUAAAGGAAUGUUAAUGCUACAAAUCAGUAUAUGUUUCGCACUUAUGCAUCAAGAUAUUUUAUCACUGUUUUUCCUAGUUUUUUAUUAGACAGGAGGCUGUGAGGGGGAGGACGCACGAUGAAACUCCUGUUUUAUAUUAGUAGAGAUUAUUUUAGUGGCAGAUCAUGUUAGGAAAGCAUAAAGAUGCUAAGUAUGCAAUUUAUCCAAUUGCUUUCCAGUAAGCACUUUGGAGAGGAGCAGCACUGCGGCAGCUACAACUCGUGCAUAUUGAGUUGUUUAGUAGCAAUGUGAGGAUCAGGCUUAGCUCUUUUACUCUAUGGAUGUCUAAUUGAAAUGAAUCAGGUUGUACCCUUUUAUUUUUGUACACUACAAAUCUGAAGUUAAUAUACUAUUAUGAGCAUCCAAUUCAUAUA